GCUCGCGGCCGGCCAGGUUUUGCGGCCUCACCUUUCUGAGCCUCAGUUUCUUCCUCUCGGUGUGAGUACCCUCCAAAAGAAAGGCUGCAGGAGCGAGAGAGAGGCCCUUCAGUUUUUCUUGGAAGAGCCCAGCCGCCUUAUUUCCGAAGUGGGCGCCCUCCUGAACGUAAGGCUUUCCUCCCCCCACUGCCCCGACGAUUCAGAACUGGUAAUGUCUGCAUCAUAAAGUGACGGCUGGGAGGACAAUGGAAUUCGUGGAAACCACCCCUUCUGUAGGAUUCCGCCGGCCUGGGUCGUGUGCCUUAGUUCUAAAACCAAAGGGGAUACCUUUUUCUGGCGCCUUGGAGUCAUGAAAACAGCUACAACAAUCACUUGCUUUCACUGAAAAGAUACUUUGUGUGAAACGUUCAUGCAUCUGCCCUCCUACUUUAUCCUCCUGAAGUUGUUCAUGGGAGAUGCCCCCUGAACAGACUGUGAAACUGAAUCUCCCCAAAAUUAAGUAGCGUGCAGAAGGCCGAGAGCGCAUAGCACACGGCAAGGACCUGGGUACUGUGCAUUGUCCCCAGGCUCUUAAAGCACCUUUUAUAGCUGCUGUUUCUAGCGGUGGUUUUUUCUGACCUUACAAUGAUGUAAUCGGCGAAAAAGGUCUUCCUUUCCUACAUUUGAACCAGCUCUUGGUCCAAGCUCAGAAACACGGAAGACGAAAAUCCGAAGAAUGAUGUGAAAGAUCUGAGGUUCUUAGGGAAAAGAAAAGCAAAAAAUAAAAUAAAAAAUAAAAAACCCAGCCUGGGAGCUCUUACUGUAGACAAACAAGAGUCAAAAGAAAAGUGAAGAGAAAGGAAAACUAUGUGGACCAACUUCUCACAAGUUUGUGAGCUGGCUGCAGGCUCUUGUCAGAGGUCCACAGCUGUACAGCCACAAAGCCUGCAGAGCACAAGAUUUUAUACGUGCUUAAAAGUUCCUACAUAUUCACACAUACUGGUUUGUUUUCCUGAAUCAUUUAUUGGCUCAUGUCCCUCAUAGGCUCCUGUGCAGAGUCCUUGGUCUUCAACGAUGGUGCUAUUUUGGGACGUUGUGGAAACUUGAGGAUGUGGAACCCAGCUGAAAAGUACAUUUUGUGACAUUUAGAAAGGGAUACAACUGUGGAAUAUGAAGAUAUAGGACAGCAUUGACACGACAAAGUUGCCUCGCCUGCCACUUGCCAUCUCCUGCUCCCUGGAACGGCAACCACAGAUCUACUUUCUAAGCUCAUAGUUUGCCACCGGAGACUGUCGUGUGGAUAGAGCACUGCACGGAGUAAUGGAGCGUGGUGUCCUCCACAGCCGUCCAUGUUGUUUCCUGAACUGAUAUCUUGUUCCUCUUUAAUGCAGACUCGGAUCCCAUUGGAUGGAUUGCGUUGGCAUGUUCACAGCAGCUGAGUGAGAGGUCGUCCAGUCUCGGACUUUAGGCAAUUAUGAGUAGAACUGCUAGAAUUAUUCAUGCAAAGCUGUUUUGUGUGUGGAAAUGUAACUUUUUAUUUCUCUUGGCUAAAUAAACAAAACUAAGGUCAGAAAUUAUCAGAAACAGCAAACUAUUUUCAAAGUGAUCACACAUUUGUAUGAGCACCAAAUGUAUGAGCGUUCCAGUUGCUUUACAUCCUGAGCGUCAGCUGCUCCUGUCAGUCUUGUUACUGUUAGCUGUCCAAAUUGCUGUGUGGUGGUAUCUCAUUCUAUUUAUUCGUUUGCUUAUUUAUAAUUUCUUUCAUGUAAGUAAUAUAUUUUGAUCAUACUCAUACCCAUUACCCUCUCUUAGUCCCUCUUGUAUUUCUUCUACACAACUAGUUCUCCUAUUUUCAUGUUUUACAGCUUUGUUUUGUCUUUUUGUGACCCACUGAAUUUCAUUAGGGCUGUUUGCAUGUCUAUGGGAUGCAGUGGCUUGAAUCAGAUGUGUCCGAUAACUCAUGAGCUCUGAAUUCUUGAUCCCCAGCCGAUGGCAUGCUGGAGAAGGCAUAUGACUGGGAGCCUAACUUGAAGCCCCCAGUUUUCCAGUUCUAGUCAGCUCAUGUUCCUGCUGCCAUUGCCCACCUGCUGUGGCAGAACUGAUGUCCAGCCCCUCCUCACGUCACGCUGUCCCCUGCCAUCGUGAAGCUUUCCCACCACACUAAACCAAAAUAAAAAUGUUCCUUCCAUCAGCUGCUUUUGAUCAGAUGCUGUGGUGAUUUCAUUCAGGUGUCCCCUAGAAACUCAUGUGUUCUGAAUGCUAGGUCCCAAGCUGGUGGCAAUUUGGGAAUUAGAACCUCCUGGAGGCGGUGUGUUGUUGAAGGUGGGCUUAUGCAUGUUUUAGCCAGCUCUCCCUUGCCAGUGUUUGAUAAACUCUCCUGUUACUGUU
Long non-coding RNA from Jaculus jaculus (lesser Egyptian jerboa), 2367 nucleotides. RefSeq lists it as uncharacterized. The record is from RefSeq and is a predicted model, not a curated record. NCBI's taxonomy places the organism in Eukaryota, Metazoa, Chordata, Mammalia, Rodentia, Dipodidae. The transcript is spliced from 3 exons.